RNAcentral lists this small nuclear RNA (19 nucleotides) under Arabidopsis thaliana (thale cress). RNAcentral's name for it is "snRNA_17531". The record is from RNAcentral. Lineage: Eukaryota; Viridiplantae; Streptophyta; Magnoliopsida; Brassicales; Brassicaceae.
UAUCCUCGGUCGGGAUCAA